AGAAAGUUAGAAGAUCUUAUAAUAGUGUGAGGAGGGGUAGUAAUUUGUUACAUAGGAUCUAAUGCAGUCCACCGCAUCAAUUGUUUUUGGGAUAUGAACACAUCGACCGAUCCCUCGUGCAUACCAUCAUAUGAGAAAUAUGUAGCUAGCAAUAGUUGAUAUCAAAAUGCUUUCAAGAUGCUUAUGGGAUGGGUAGUAGUAGAUAGUAUAGUCUCAUCAUCAGAAUCUGCAUCAUUCAAGUAUCUUGAUGCAAUAUGAUAAAUCUAUCAAAGAUAGCUUCUUUUUCUGUUCUGCAAUAGGUGAAGGAAAACAAUCAGUAUUCUACAUGUCAAAAAAAAGCAGCACUAAAUUUAUUUCAUAUACAUGUAGCAUGUUGGCGCUCAACUCUUAAGAGAAGAGAAAUUCAACCUAAACAUUAAGGCAUCAAGACGUAGCGCAUGACCAAAUAACUUAACUAUUAGGUAUAUCAUGUAAAAAAUAUUCAAUGUUACAAAAAAAAUCCAGGGUUGACCAGCACAGCUUAAAUAAUUCUAUCAAACAAACUACAAAUAGUAUUGAAGACAAGAAGGAAGGAACCAAUAAAAAUAUCUAUUUUAACAUAAGUAUAUGCUUACAUAUCAUGUAUACAAUGUAAAAGAGUAUAACAUCUAAAUGGAAAGUUAUUCACCUCACAUUUCCAAAUGUCCAUACCAACCGAAGGACCAUAUCUUGCAAGUUGGGAGUAUGGAGCAGAAUGGAAAUUCAAUUACCUGUCUAAGAAAGUGAAGUGGACAAUUCAAGUUAAUCUUUAAAGAACAAAAUCUAAGAGGAAUGCACUUUGGAUGGCAUUCAUUGGUGCUAGGAUGUAGUUAUAUGAAAAGGGGAAUAAAAAUGGGAUUCAGAGAAUCAGACAAGACGCAUACAUAAAAAUUGGAAUAAAAAUGGGAUGUAAUUAUAUGAAAAGGGGAGUCUGAGUAUCGGACAAGAUGCAUAUAAACAUUGGAAUUUAACCCCCAAAAUACUAACCAAAACAGAUAAACACCAAGAAGUGAGACAACAAUCCGCUUACAUCUUCAAACACCUUCCCUACACAAAAGCUCUGCAAUGUCUUGACAUACAGAACUAUGCAUUGUCUUGAUAUACAGAAUUUACCAAAGUGACUUGUGUCCUCAGUCGUCAGAUCGCGGCGUUGAUGCCCGAGAUUGGCUGGUCGUUGUACCAAGUAUCGUUACACCAUUUUUAGGGUCCCAACGCAUGUCACGGUCUGCCAUAUUAAAAGGGAUGCUGCUACCGAAACUGAUCUGGCUGUUCUGUCAUCGACUGGCCGCAAAAAAAACUGUGUACGAGAGGCCUGGGCAUAACAAUUGAGAACUAACAUCUCUUCCAAGCAGGUGGCCACCAUUUUUAUGGGCUUCUUUGUGUGCUUGAGCCAGGCAGCCUGACGUGGAACGACUGCUGCUCUAGAAGCCUAUUUCUGUGGCCUUUCCAUUCACUCGACCAACGCGUGUUUUCUGGUUACUAUAAUAACUGACCAUGAUAAAAACUCACUAAAAAAGCUGAUCUAAAAUAUAACCAGACUAUUAGCAUUCUCCCCUGUAUCUUUGAGCCAGCGAAAAUUAUGUCGUUCACAUUCUGUGUCCGCUCAAUGCAAAUGAAAAUUCCCUGCCCCAUCGAAUCAUUCAGUCAUGUGACCAGCGAUAGAAUGAUGGUGAUGAAGCUUCAGUUCCAGAAUCACAAUUGAAGCAAAGAACAGGGCUGAUGGAGAAACUUUUAGUUCUGGGACUACCACGCCAUCAUUCUUGGUCUGCAAAUGCAAAUGGAACAUUCUUAUACUAUAAUCAGAUAGUUUGAAGUGUAUUUGCUACUUGCUAGAUUCUUCUACUUAAAAUUUAUUUAUUUUACUUUUGAUGAUGAUUCUAACAUCUGUUUAACAGUUCCUUGGUGGUAUUUCCAGCAGCUCCAUCCAAUCCAAUCCAACUAUAACCGCAUUAAUAUUACACCAUAUAUAUUUGUGUGGCUUAAUCCAUUUAUAUUCGAUGCCAUCCUAAUUUAUUUUGGAUGUUACACAUUAAGAAUUUAUGUCAGCUCACCAAACAUAUGGGGAAUGAUUGAUGCAAUACUGUCUAUUUUUUUUACAAACUAACUUUGAACAAGAAGUGUAACCCAAACCAUGUCCUUUUCACAUAUCCGUGUCGUUCAACUAUACUCAAAUAUUUGCAUUGUUCUAUUGACAUGAUAGACGGGCGCGGCAACACGUGCAUUCAUGUUCUAGUGUCUUCACAUACAGAACAACCUAUCUAAUAAGUUUACCUCUUCAGAUCAUGGUCAAACUAUACAGAAUUGUCUCCAUCUCUUCCAAUAAUUGGUGUCAGAGGAUUCACAAACAGCAUGAGGCCUGAUCCACGGAGAAAGUUGAAAUAAAGUCCAAAUUAGUGCUUUGAGAUUUCAUCCACCAGUACAAUGGGGCAGAUGAGUAGAGGCCUAGUGUUCGAGGAGAGUAGGGGAGCUAGGAGGGAAUUUCACACGAGCUCACCAACAACAGUUCUGAAGCAUCAUGACAAUGAGGAGAAGACGAUUUGAUGCAAUAGAUGAGGGAGACAG
This 2580-nucleotide long non-coding RNA is filed under the name Triticum aestivum (bread wheat). Its description in RNAcentral is "long non-coding RNA (TAES_LNC022351)". Lineage: Eukaryota; Viridiplantae; Streptophyta; Magnoliopsida; Poales; Poaceae. The record is from RNAcentral.